RNAcentral lists this ribosomal RNA (848 nucleotides) under Vannella arabica. RNAcentral describes it as "bacterial SSU rRNA". It matches the Rfam family "Eukaryotic small subunit ribosomal RNA", at positions 1006 to 1828 of the family's 1831-position model. Lineage: Eukaryota; Discosea; Flabellinia; Vannellidae. The record is from RNAcentral.
GAUUAGAUACCGUCGUAGUCUUAACUAUAAACUAUGCCGACCAGGGAUAUGAGUUGUUAUGAAUGACUUUUAGUUAUUCAAUUUCCUCUUGUGGACCUUGUGAGAAAUCAUAAGUUUUUGGGUUCUGGGGGGAGUAUGGUCGCAAGGCUGAAACUUAAAGGAAUUGACGGAGGGGCACCACCAGGAGUGGAGCGUGCGGCUUAAUUUGACUCAACACGGGAAAACUUACCAGGUCCAGACAUUAGAAGGAUUGACAGAUUGAUAGCUCUUUCAUGAUUUAAUGGGUGGUGGUGCAUGGCCGUUCUUAGUUGGUGGAGUGAUUUGUCUGGUUAAUUCCGAUAACGAACGAGACCUUUACCAUACUAAAUAGUUUGAUUUAUUCAUUUAUGAAUAGAUUUACAUAUUAUAAACCUCUUAGAGGGACUAUUGGUUCUUAAACCAAAGGAAGUAAAGGCGAUAACAGGUCUGUGAUGCCCUUAGAUGUUCUGGGCUGCACGCGCGCUACAAUGAUAAACUCAACGAGUAUUUAAUAUUUAUUUAUUAUAUUGCUGUAUUGGAAAGUAUGGCUAAUCUUAAACGUUUAUCGUGCUUGGGAUAGAUGAUUGCAAUUAUUUAUCUUGAACCAGGAAUUCCUAGUAAUCGUAUAUCAUCAGUGUGCGAUGAUUACGUCCCUGCCCCUUGUACACACCGCCCGUCGCUGCUACCGAUUGGAUGAUCCGGUGAAAUCCUCGGAUAAUGAUAAAUACUUUACUUUGUAAAGUUUAUCGUUAGAAGUUGAUUAAACCUUAUCAUCUAGAGGAAGCAAAAGUCGUAACAAGGUUUCCGUAGGUGAACCUGCAGAAGGAUCA